CCUACGGGUGGCAGCAGUGAGGAAUUUUGGUCAAUGGGCGGAAGCCUGAACCAGCCAAGUCGCGUGAGGGAUUAAGGCCCUGCGGGUCGUAAACCUCUUUUGCCGGGGAGCAGAGGUCCGGACGUGUCCGGGCCGGGAGAGUACCCGGAGAAAAAGCAUCGGCUAACUCCGUGCCAGCAGCCGCGGUAAUACGGAGGAUGCGAGCGUUAUCCGGAUUUAUUGGGUGUAAAGGGUGCGUAGGCGGGCCUUUAAGCCGGCGGUCAAAUGUCGGGGCUCAACCCCGGCCUGCCGUCGGAACUGGGUGCCUUGAGUGGGCGAGAAGUAUGCGGAAUGCGUGGUGUAGCGGUGAAAUGCAUAGAGAUCACGCAGAACCCCGAUUGCGAAGGGAGCAUACCGGCGCCCUACUGACGCUGAGGCACGAAAGUGCGGGUAUCGAACAGGAUUAGAUACCCUGGUAGUC
RNAcentral lists this ribosomal RNA (460 nucleotides) under uncultured bacterium. Its description in RNAcentral is "partial 16S ribosomal RNA". It matches the Rfam family "Bacterial small subunit ribosomal RNA", at positions 338 to 795 of the family's 1533-position model. The record is from RNAcentral.